Vicia villosa (hairy vetch) is the source of this 199-nucleotide long non-coding RNA. RefSeq lists it as uncharacterized. The record is from RefSeq and is a predicted model, not a curated record. The transcript has 2 exons. NCBI's taxonomy places the organism in Eukaryota, Viridiplantae, Streptophyta, Magnoliopsida, Fabales, Fabaceae.
UAAAGGACAGCUAUAGUAAGGGUGAAAAAUAGGAUUCAUGAAUGGAAAUUAGAGGAGCAGUCAAAAGUUCUCCAGUUAUUUAAAUUUCCUAGUGAGAUUUUGUAGUUUGAAGAUUAUACUUCUUUAAACCUAGUGAAGUUACUCCAGCCUUUGUUAGUCUCAUGCCAUUUCAUGAUGUAAAAAUUGCAGCAUUUAAUUA